GGGGAUUUAGCUCAGUGGUAGAGCGCUUGCCUAGCAAGCAACAAGGCCCUGGGUUCGGUUCUCAGCUCUG
Molecule: transfer RNA, 70 nt
Filed under: Neotoma lepida (desert woodrat)
Lineage: Eukaryota; Metazoa; Chordata; Mammalia; Rodentia; Cricetidae
Rfam family: tRNA
About the family: Transfer RNA (tRNA) molecules are approximately 80 nucleotides in length. Their secondary structure includes four short double-helical elements and three loops (D, anti-codon, and T loops).
Source: Rfam by way of RNAcentral